RNAcentral lists this ribosomal RNA (279 nucleotides) under uncultured bacterium. Its description in RNAcentral is "partial 16S ribosomal RNA". It matches the Rfam family "Bacterial small subunit ribosomal RNA", at positions 506 to 784 of the family's 1533-position model. The record is from RNAcentral.
UGCCAGCAGCCGCGGUAAUACGGAGGGGGCUAGCGUUGUUCGGAAUUACUGGGCGUAAAGCGCACGUAGGCGGACUAUUAAGUCAGGGGUGAAAUCCCGGGGCUCAACCCCGGAACUGCCUCUGAUACUGGAUAGCUUGAGUACUGGAGAGGGUAGUGGAAUUCCCAGUGUAGAGGUGAAAUUCGUAGAUAUUGGGAAGAACACCAGCGGCGAAGGCGGCUACCUGGACAGAUACUGACGCUGAGGUGCGAAAGCGUGGGGAGCAAACAGGAUUAGAUA